Molecule: ribosomal RNA, 505 nt
Filed under: uncultured bacterium
Lineage: Bacteria
Description: bacterial SSU rRNA
Rfam family: Bacterial small subunit ribosomal RNA
Source: RNAcentral
CCUGGCUUAGGAUGAACGCUAGCGACAGGCCUAACACAUGCAAGUCAGGGGCAGCACAAGGAGCAAUCUGAGGUGGCGACCGGCGCACGGGUGAGUAACACGUAUGCAACCUGCCUGUAAGCGGGGAAUAACCCGUUGAAAGACGGACUAAUACCGCAUAAUACUAAAUUACUGCAUGGUAAUUUAUUUAAACAUUUAUGGCUUACAGAUGGGCAUGCGCAUGAUUAGCUAGUUGGAGAGGUAACGGCUCCCCAAGGCAACGAUCAUUAGGGGUUCUGAGAGGAAGGUCCCCCACACUGGUACUGAGACACGGACCAGACUCCUACGGGAGGCAGCAGUGAGGAAUAUUGGUCAAUGGACGAGAGUCUGAACCAGCCAAGUCGCGUGCAGGAAGAAUGUCCCUAUGGAUUGUAAACUGCUUUUGCAGGGGAAUAAAGUGCAUCACGUGUGAUGUUUUGUAUGUACUCUGCGAAUAAGGAUCGGCUAACUCCGUGCCAGCAGCGGC